RNAcentral lists this ribosomal RNA (459 nucleotides) under uncultured bacterium. RNAcentral's name for it is "partial 16S ribosomal RNA". It matches the Rfam family "Bacterial small subunit ribosomal RNA", at positions 338 to 795 of the family's 1533-position model. The record is from RNAcentral.
CCUACGGGCGGCAGCAGUGAGGAAUAUUGGUCAAUGGGCGCGAGCCUGAACCAGCCAAGUCGCGUGAGGGAAGACGGUCCUAUGGAUUGUAAACCUCUUUUGUCGGGGAGCAAAAGACGCCACGCGUGGCGUUCCGAGAGUACCCGAAGAAAAAGCAUCGGCUAACUCCGUGCCAGCAGCCGCGGUAAUACGGAGGAUGCGAGCGUUAUCCGGAUUUAUUGGGUUUAAAGGGUGCGCAGGCGGAAUAUCAAGUCAGCGGUAAAAUUGAGAGGCUCAACCUCUUCGAGCCGUUGAAACUGGUUUGCUUGAGUGAGCGAGAGGUAUGCGGAAUGCGUGGUGUAGCGGUGAAAUGCAUAGAUAUCACGCAGAACUCCGAUUGCGAAGGCAGCAUACCGGCGCUCAACUGACGCUCAUGCACGAAAGUGUGGGUAUCGAACAGGAUUAGAUACCCGUGUAGUC